Molecule: signal recognition particle RNA, 96 nt
Filed under: Myxococcales bacterium LLY-WYZ-16_1
Lineage: Bacteria; Pseudomonadati; Myxococcota; Myxococcia; Myxococcales
Description: signal recognition particle sRNA small type
Rfam family: Bacterial small signal recognition particle RNA
About the family: The signal recognition particle (SRP) is a universally conserved ribonucleoprotein involved in the co-translational targeting of proteins to membranes. Archaeal SRP consists of a 7S RNA and homologues of the eukaryotic SRP19 and SRP54 proteins.
Source: RNAcentral
CGCCGGGUCCUGCACAACGGGCGGCUCUGAACCCCGCCAGGUCCGGAAGGAAGCAACGGUAGGAGCUCAACGUGUGUUGUAGGGUGCCUGGCGGCC